Molecule: ribosomal RNA, 407 nt
Filed under: uncultured bacterium
Lineage: Bacteria
Description: bacterial SSU rRNA
Rfam family: Bacterial small subunit ribosomal RNA
Source: RNAcentral
UGAGGAAUAUUGCGCAAUGGUCGAAAGACUGACGCAGCGACGCCGUGUGUGGGAAGAAGGCUCUUGGGUCGUAAACCACUGUCAGUGGGGACGAAAAAAAUGACGGUACCCACAAAGGAAGCCCCGGCUAACUACGUGCCAGCAGCCGCGGUAAGACGUAGGGGGCGAGCGUUGUUCGGAAUUACUGGGCGUAAAGAGCUCGUAGGCGGGCGAAUAAGUCUUGCAACAAAGACUGCAGCUCAACUGCAGGAAGUUGUAGGAUACUGUUUGUCUUGAGAAUAGGAGAGGGGAGUGGAAUUCCUAGUGUAGCGGUGAAAUGCGUAGAUAUUAGGAGGAACACCAGUGGCGAAGGCGACUCUCUGGCCUAUUUCUGACGCUGAGGAGCGAAAGCUGGGGGAGCAAACGGG